GACGAACGCUGGCGGCGUGCUUAACACAUGCAAGUCGAACGAUGAUCAGGAGCUUGCUCCUGUGAUUAGUGGCGAACGGGUGAGUAACACGUGAGUAACCUGCCCCUGACUCUGGGAUAAGCGUUGGAAACGACGUCUAAUACUGGAUAUGAUCACUGGCCGCAUGGUCUGGUGGUGGAAAGAUUUUUUGGUUGGGGAUGGACUCGCGGCCUAUCAGCUUGUUGGUGAGGUAAUGGCUCACCAAGGCGACGACGGGUAGCCGGCCUGAGAGGGUGACCGGCCACAAUGGGACUGAGACACGGCCCAGACUCCUACGGGAGGCAGCAGUGGGGAAUAUUGCACAAUGGGCGAAAGCCUGAUGCAGCAACGCCGCGUGAGGGAUGACGGCCUUCGGGUUGUAAACCUCUUUUAGUAGGGAAGAAGCGAAAGUGACGGUACCUGCAGAAAAAGCACCGGCUAACUACGUG
RNAcentral lists this ribosomal RNA (467 nucleotides) under uncultured bacterium. RNAcentral describes it as "partial 16S ribosomal RNA". It matches the Rfam family "Bacterial small subunit ribosomal RNA", at positions 28 to 507 of the family's 1533-position model. The record is from RNAcentral.